Molecule: small RNA, 476 nt
Filed under: Pan troglodytes (chimpanzee)
Lineage: Eukaryota; Metazoa; Chordata; Mammalia; Primates; Hominidae
Description: retained intron
Source: RNAcentral
UUUUUGUUUGUUGUUUUCUAGUACUACUAUAAUUCCUUAACCCAGCAGUACCUUUACUGGGAUGGGGAAAAAGAGACCUACGUGCCAGCUGCAGAGUCUAGCUCCCACCAGCAGACGGGCCUGCCUCCUGCAAAAGAGGGGAAAGAGAAGAAGGAGAAACCCAAGAGCAAAACAGCCCAGCAGAUUGCCAAAGACAUGGAACGCUGGGCUAAGAGUUUGAAUAAGCAGAAAGAAAACUUUAAAAAUAGCUUUCAGCCUGUCAAUUCCUUGAGGGAAGAAGAAAGGAGAGAAUCUGCUGCAGCAGACGCUGGCUUUGCUCUCUUUGAGAAGAAGGUAAUAGCAGGAAUGGCCAGUACGUCAUGAUGGGAACUUACCUAAAACUUGAGUCUCAUGGCUUGUCCUCUGUUUCCCAGGGAGCCUUAGCUGAAAGGCAGCAGCUCAUCCCAGAAUUGGUGCGAAAUGGAGAUGAGGAGAAU